This is a long non-coding RNA of Esox lucius (northern pike), 1367 nucleotides long. RefSeq lists it as uncharacterized. Lineage: Eukaryota; Metazoa; Chordata; Actinopteri; Esociformes; Esocidae. The record is from RefSeq and is a predicted model, not a curated record. The transcript is spliced from 3 exons.
GUGAUAAAAAUUACAGACCUCUACAUGCUUUCCACUUUGGGUUGUCAGAAGAGGUGCCUGUUAUCUGGGGAGUUCAGAAGAUUUCCGUGAGAAUAUCCUAAGAAAUGUCUCAAAGGAACCUUUGGAAUGGAGUUGAAAUCCCACAGGAAUGAUCUGCUAGUGGUAUCCUGUAUCAGUGGAGGCCUGGCCUUGGUGUGGCCUUUGUUGGCCACUCAGCGCCGAGGUGACGAGCGAACAAAGGGGUGAGAGAGCAUAGCUUCAAUGGGAGUCGGGUAUCAAGAGGAUAACCACCGCAGUGUCAAAGGGGCCCUGCCGCAGCCACACACAAAGAACGACAGACACCAUGAAAGAGGGAUGGGGUUUCUCAGCCUGGCGUAAAAAGGAAAACAUUCUCUAUCUCUUUCACUCACUUUCUUUUACUUUUGUGUUUGAAAGUCACAAAAAACAACAUGUGGGGGAAACAGUGUGUCACAAUGGUACCUUCUGAAGAGUCACGGGAGCGGAAUUGGUUUGAAUUCCUUUGAACGUUUCUCUCUCUCAAACACGGCUCACGCGGUGAUUUAGACGCUCUCGCGAAAGCACCGUUUGAUCACAGAAGCAGGGUUUUGACGAAGCACACGGGCCGAAAGCUGAAUAAAUGAAGAGAUUAGUUCAAAUGAAAACCAAAACAACACCUGUCCUGCUCUUAUCAUGGUAGGACUCUCUUUGUUGUUUUGUGGGUGACGGAGGAAGCCUCAAGGCUGGCCUGGAAUCAUGCCCGUCUUGUGUUGCCCUCAUCGCACACAUCUUUGUGCCCGAUGAGGUUAUCUGCCGGGGCGUUUCAGCGGUGAGGGACAGACAAUACCUUUCCGUGCCACGGGGAGUGGGUGUAGGGUUCUCCAGUUGUUGCUGAGCGUGCGACGAUGGGGUUAGGAAUACGGGACAAAGAAACAAAUUCCCCAGCUCCUGCUGCAAACAGGAUUAACACUCCCGGUAACAGACACAUACUGGCUUGGUCUAUUUAUUGUGUGCGCUAACCUGUCUGAAACCAAACUACAACCAAAACACCGAUCAGCUUUUUAGAUUGCAUAACGGCACAAUCUGUUUGAUUUUUGUAGCAGCUAUAUCUCUGAUAAAUAAAAGUGAAACAUCAUAGCCUUUAUCUGGGCAUCUUAAGAUGUUGUUGAAUGUGAGCCUCUGAAUUUCUGAUUUAAAGUGAUAUGCGCCCAAUGAAAAAUUAGAUCCCGCCCAAUCUAAUCUCAUUUCCCAUUUGAGAUUGCUUAUCUUCCCCACUCUUACGGUUAAAGGGGCAAUCUGAAACUAUAUCAAAGCUAACACCCCGCCUCUCUGGUGACAUGUAACCACUCUCAAAUGUAUAGACAGGGCUG